CCAGAGAACUUUCCAGAGAUGGAUUGGUGCCUUCGGGAACUCUGAGACAGGUGCUGCAUGGCUGUCGUCAGCUCGUGUUGUGAAAUGUUGGGUUAAGUCCCGCAACGAGCGCAACCCUUUAUCCUUUGUUGCCAGCGGUUAGGCCGGGAACUCAAAGGAGACUGCCAGUGAUAAACUGGAGGAAGGUGGGGAUGACGUCAAGUCAUCAUGGCCCUUACGAGUAGGGCUACACACGUGCUACAAUGGCGCAUACAAGAGAAGCGACCUCGCGAGAGCAAGCGGACCUCAUAAAGUGCGUCGUAGUCCGGAUUGGAGUCUGCAACUCGACUCCAUGAAGUCGGAAUCGCUAGUAAUCGUGGAUCAGAAUGCCACGGUGAAUACGUUCCCGGGCCUUGUACACACCGCCCGUCACACCAUGGGAGUGGGUUGCAAAAGAAGUAGGUAGCUUAACCUUCGGGAGGGCGCUUACCACUUUGUGAUUCAUGACUGGGGUGAAGUCGUAACAAGGUAAGCGUAGAUGA
RNAcentral lists this ribosomal RNA (521 nucleotides) under uncultured bacterium. RNAcentral's name for it is "bacterial SSU rRNA". It matches the Rfam family "Bacterial small subunit ribosomal RNA", at positions 988 to 1509 of the family's 1533-position model. The record is from RNAcentral.